Molecule: long non-coding RNA, 662 nt
Filed under: Nicotiana benthamiana
Lineage: Eukaryota; Viridiplantae; Streptophyta; Magnoliopsida; Solanales; Solanaceae
Description: long non-coding RNA (NBEN_LNC014995)
Source: RNAcentral
AGAGAUAUAUAUAUAUAUAUAGAGAGAGAGGGGGGGAGGGAGGGAGGUUGAACAAAGGAAAAGCAAGCCCAAACAAAAACAAAGAAAAAGAAAACUGAAAAGACAUCAAUUGCACAGAAAAAGUUUCAUCUAGUGCAGCAACAGUAAUACAUUCCUAAAAUUAAGAAAACUCAACCAUAUCUAUCAACAAUUUUUCAAAUCCAAAGUGAUCAAAAAAGAAAACCACAACAGCCGUGAAACUAUAGAAUCAACAGAAUGAACUCUGGAAAGCUAUUAUUGCUUGUUUUUAUAAGGUAAAUUUUUCUUUCAAAAUUGUGAAAACUCAAAAUAAAAUUUUAGGUUUUUCCUGCGAUGGAAAGAUAAGGUAAUUAUGGAUAAACAAGCUUAAGUUAGCAGACUCACCAAUCAAGAAAAUUAGAAGUUCUACGACGGAAAGAUAAGGUAGUUAUGGAAAAACAAGCUUAAGUUAGCAGACUCACCAAUCAAGAAAAUUAGAAGUACCACAGAAGAAAGCAUUUGAACAGGCCGAUUAUAUUUCAUAUAAUACUGAGACCGUUGCAGCUGUCGUUGCACUGCUCCAUACCAACCAUCGAGUUGCUUUUCAUAAUUUUCAUCGCAUCCAUCAAGGCAAAUCUUACUCGUUUCAUAACAUGUGUUGAUGC